Molecule: transfer RNA, 74 nt
Filed under: Lactobacillaceae bacterium
Lineage: Bacteria; Bacillati; Bacillota; Bacilli; Lactobacillales; Lactobacillaceae
Description: tRNA-Arg
Rfam family: tRNA
About the family: Transfer RNA (tRNA) molecules are approximately 80 nucleotides in length. Their secondary structure includes four short double-helical elements and three loops (D, anti-codon, and T loops).
Source: RNAcentral
GCGGGCGUAGCGCAAUUGGAUAGAGCACCGGAGUUCUAAUCCGUAGGUUGUGGGUUCGACUCCCACCGCCCGCA